AAACAAGUCAAUUUCUAUUCUGAAAACCUGGCACUGCCUAAGAAAAUCCAAACCCUUCAAACAGAAGCUUCACAAGAGUGUAGUUAAUGGCAUAAAAGAGUGCUCAGAGACUCACCCACAGAGACUUUCUGAUAGCUGAUGCCAGGAACAGCAAAAAGCAGAAUGUCCAGUUGGGGAUAGUUAACCAAGCCCCUCUCAAUUCUUCUUCUUGAGGCUAUCCUCUCCUCACUGGUCCCCAUUUUAUAACCAUGCUCAAGGAGCCUAGGCUUCUCUUCUUCUCUUACAGCAUGUUUAAUAUCACUACUUUAUCCAUUCUGUACUGUUGCAGGCUGAAGGUGACAUUACACUUAGAGGGAUCCACAGAUUCAAGAGGCUGCUUGGGGAGGGCAGCACAGUGAAGUACAAGGACUUUGACAUCAGAGAGGCCUGGAUUCAAGUCCCAAUUUCUAUCUCUCUCUCUGCGGAAGCCAGCCACCGCUCUCCAAGGACUCUCGAGCAGCUCCAUCUACAGAUUCACAUGGAGAAGAAUUAAGGGUUCCUGCCAAUCACCAGCACCACUUUGCCAGCCUUGUGAAAGUACCUGAAUGAAACAACACCCAGUAGCCACUAGCACACCUAGCUCCCAGAUCUCAGUUUUUGAUGCCAUUCUUCAGUAAAAGGAAGCAAGGCUGCUUGGAGAAAUUGCUAUCAAGGACUGGCGUAGAAAAUAUACAGGAUGAAAUUGGAGCAUCUUGUAGUGCUUGAAAACAGUUGGCAUCUGUGUGAAGAUGUGAAUGGAGGAGGCAGGGUACGCAGUGAGUGCCGCAGCCACAGCUUGGGUUCUCUGCAGCCCUGGCACAGAAGGUUCCUUAGAUCCUGGGAUGAGGAGGUGGACCAGCAGAAGGUGGGCUUGGGAAGGCAGCCCGGGGUCCAAAUCCUCCUGACUCUUCAGCUUAGCGGGUUAGUUAACAUUCAGAAGCCUUCAUCUCCCAUCUGCAAAAUGGGCAUGUCCAACUCAGAAGCUGCCUUGAAGAAAGGGUCUACCCAGCAUGGUGCGUGGAGCCUAAGCAAUCAGUACUUCAGGACUUCACCCGGCCCCUUUCCAAUAACUGCUGCUGUCGCCCUCACAGGAUGUCACCUUCAGUGUCUGAAAGCUGGGUUUGAUGCGUCUGGAAAGGCGCCCCUGACAGGCGUCGUUGCCAGGAGCCCCUAGUGCCGCCCCCAGCCAGCAGGGGAGAGCGUCCUCUGCCCGCUCACUUCUGACCCUUCUCUCGUUGCACCCGGGACAUGGUGCAGCUGGGAGCAGCCUGGGCUGCGCGGAAGGCUCAGAUUUGGGGACGGCCCUUGCCAGUGACUGUGAGCUGGGGUGUCUUGGAAACUCCCAGUCUCAGCUUCUCCAUUUAUAAGAUGAGAAUGAUCAUACCAGCCUCAGGCAAGGUUGUUUGUGCAUUAGUGAAAUCAGACGUAUCAAAUAAAGUACCACAUUGAUCGUGGAGUUGUUGAAUAACCAAGAACAC
This 1496-nucleotide long non-coding RNA is filed under the name Pan troglodytes (chimpanzee). RNAcentral describes it as "long non-coding RNA NONPTRT009115". Lineage: Eukaryota; Metazoa; Chordata; Mammalia; Primates; Hominidae. The record is from RNAcentral.